AAAGGGUUAAAUUGAAAUAAAAAAGAAAAAAAAGCUAAAUUCGAAAUAAAUCUGAAAACAGGACCACAUUGAAUGCGUGCGCAAGUGUGGAGGACCAAAAGGGAAAUUAUUCCCGCCUUCCAAAACGCUGCGCAGCAGCAUGGGCCAAAUUGAAACAGAAAUAAAAUUUGCGGGAAAAUUUAAAAGAAAUCAGAAGCUUAAUUUAAACACACCG
Molecule: long non-coding RNA, 214 nt
Filed under: Gossypium raimondii (Peruvian cotton)
Lineage: Eukaryota; Viridiplantae; Streptophyta; Magnoliopsida; Malvales; Malvaceae
Description: long non-coding RNA (GRAI_LNC008683)
Source: RNAcentral